GAUGAACGCUAGCGGCAGGCUUAACACAUGCAAGUCGAGGGGUAUGCCGAUUUAUCGGCAGAGACCGGCGCACGGGUGCGUAACGCGUAUGCAAUCUACCUUUCACAGAGGGAUAGCCCAGAGAAAUUUGGAUUAAUACCUCAUAGUAUAGCAAUUUCGCAUGAAACCACUAUUAAAGUUCCAACGGUGAAAGAUGAGCAUGCGUCCCAUUAGCUAGAUGGUAAGGUAACGGCUUACCAUGGCUACGAUGGGUAGGGGUCCUGAGAGGGAGAUCCCCCACACUGGUACUGAGACACGGACCAGACUCCUACGGGAGGCAGCAGUGAGGAAUAUUGGUCAAUGGACGCAAGUCUGAACCAGCCAUGCCGCGUGCAGGAUGACGGUCCUAUGGAUUGUAAACUGCUUUUGACGGAACGAAAGGUUUCUAUUAAUACUAGGAGCUCAUGACGGUACCGUAAGAAUAAGCACCGGCU
Molecule: ribosomal RNA, 473 nt
Filed under: uncultured bacterium
Lineage: Bacteria
Description: bacterial SSU rRNA
Rfam family: Bacterial small subunit ribosomal RNA
Source: RNAcentral